GAAGGAGCGUCUCGACGCGGAGCUAAAGCUCGUCGGCGAGUAUGGCCUCCGUUGCAAGCGCGAGCUGUGGCGUGUCCAGUACGCGCUGAGCCGGAUCCGGAAUGCGGCGAGGGAGUUACUGACGCUCGACGAGAAGAAUCCUCGCCGGAUCUUCGAGGGCGAGGCGCUUCUCCGCCGUAUGAAUCGGUACGGGCUCCUCGAGGAGGGACAGAACAAGCUCGAUUACGUGCUUGCACUCACCGUUGAGAACUUCCUUGAGCGCCGCCUUCAGACGCAGGUGUUCAAAUCGGGCAUGGCGAAGUCGAUACAUCAUGCUCGUGUUUUGAUCCGUCAGCGUCACAUCAGGGUUGGGCGUCAGGUGGUGAACAUUCCCUCGUUCAUGGUGAGAGUUGAUUCUGCUAAGCAUAUUGAUUUUGCCCUCAACAGUCCACUUGGAGGAGGUGGCCCUGGAAGAGUGAAGCGAAGGAACCUUAAGAAAGCUUCCACUAAGAAGGGAGCUGAUGGUGAUGAAGAGGAAGAGGAUUGAGUGAGUGCUUGUGCUUUUGUUCUUAGAGAUGAUUAAAAACUGUAGCUGUGCUUUAAAUUAGUUAAUGAAAGGUUGGCUGUCUUAUUUCAUAAGAUAUAUGCUUUGAGACUGUUUU
This 641-nucleotide unclassified non-coding RNA is filed under the name Hevea brasiliensis (rubber tree). The record is from RNAcentral. Lineage: Eukaryota; Viridiplantae; Streptophyta; Magnoliopsida; Malpighiales; Euphorbiaceae.